GGUCUUAUAGUGUAGUUGGUUAUCACAGCGGAUUCUGAUAAAGACCAUUCCGCUAACCUGAGUUCGAAUCUCGGUAAGACCU
Molecule: transfer RNA, 82 nt
Organism: Sugiyamaella lignohabitans
Lineage: Eukaryota; Fungi; Ascomycota; Dipodascomycetes; Dipodascales; Trichomonascaceae
Rfam family: tRNA
About the family: Transfer RNA (tRNA) molecules are approximately 80 nucleotides in length. Their secondary structure includes four short double-helical elements and three loops (D, anti-codon, and T loops).
Source: Rfam